UUAUUUUUAAUAAAUACAACAAUUAGUACACUUUUGACUCUUUAGAGAUACUGAGGUAAUUGCUGCUAAUCUGCAAUGACUUUACUGAGGUAAUUGAUAUGAUAAAAAUAAUAAUUAUUAUUAUUAUAUAUAUAUGCAUAAUAUGCAGGUUGGAUGGGUCAGAAUUUCAAAAACUAGACACCACCGCCAAAACCUCCACCAGCUCCUGCACCACUGCCAAAUCCACCUCCAGCACCACCACCAUGGCCUCCUCCACCACCUACUCCGCCGCCAAAUCCGCCACCAUGGCCUCCUCCACCACCUGCCCCACCGCCAAAUCCGCCACCAUGUCCUCCGCCACCACCAUGGCCUCCUCCACCACCUGCCCCACCGCCAAAUCCGCUACCAUGUCCUCCGCCAAGUCCACCGCCACCACCAUGUCCUCCACCUAAACCGCCACCAUGGCCUCCGCCAAAUCCACCACCGCCACCAUGUCCUCCACCUAAACCGCCACCAUGACCUCCGCCAAACCCACCGCCGCCACCAUGUCCUCCACCUAAACCGCCACCAUGUCCUCCGCCACCACCAUGACCACCGACCUAAACCGCCACCAUGUCCUCCGCCACCACCAUGACCACCGCCGCCACCAUGACCUCCGCCACCACCAUGACCACCGCCGCCACCAUGACCUCCGCCACCACCAUGACCACCGCCGCCACCUGCUCCGCCGCCAAAACCUCCACCAUGACCUCCUCCACCACCAUGGCCUCCGCCAAAACCUCCACCAUGACCUCCUCCACCGCCAAAUCCGCCACCAUGACCACCUCCUUUUCCAAAUCCACCUCCAUGACCUCCACCAAAUCCACCACCAUGACCUCCUCCACUGCCAAAUCCACCACCAUGACCACCUCCUUUUCCAAAUCCACCUCCGAAGCCUGCUCCUCCUCCAGCACCGCCGCCCAAGUUUUGAACACGAGUCCACCUAGCUUCAGCAACCACGAUUGUAAUGAUCAACAAUACAACGAACCUCAUAGACUUGAAUCCAGUCAUAUUGAUGAGUGGAAGUGUGGGUGUGUGAGUGAACGAUGAUACA
RNAcentral lists this long non-coding RNA (1072 nucleotides) under Zostera marina. Its description in RNAcentral is "long non-coding RNA (ZMAR_LNC004446)". Lineage: Eukaryota; Viridiplantae; Streptophyta; Magnoliopsida; Alismatales; Zosteraceae. The record is from RNAcentral.